This 491-nucleotide ribosomal RNA is filed under the name Diplodina acerina. Its description in RNAcentral is "eukaryotic LSU rRNA". It matches the Rfam family "Eukaryotic large subunit ribosomal RNA", at positions 96 to 599 of the family's 3401-position model. The record is from RNAcentral. Lineage: Eukaryota; Fungi; Ascomycota; Sordariomycetes; Diaporthales; Gnomoniaceae.
AAGCGGCAACAGCUCAAAUUUGAAAUCUGGCUUCGGCCCGAGUUGUAAUUUGCAGAGGAUGUUUAUGGUGCGGUACUUUCCGAGUUCCCUGGAACGGGACGCCACAGAGGGUGAGAGCCCCGUCUGGAUGGAUACCAAACCUGUGUUAAACUCCUUCAACGAGUCGAGUAGUUUGGGAAUGCUGCUCUAAAUGGGAGGUAAAUCUCUUCUAAAGCUAAAUAUAGGCCAGAGACCGAUAGCGCACAAGUAGAGUGAUCGAAAGAUGAAAAGCACCUUGAAAAGGGGGUUAAACAGUACGUGAAAUUGUUGAAAGGGAAGCGUUUAUGACCAGACUUGUGUCGUGUGGCUCAUCCGAGGUUCUCCCCGGUGCACUCCACGCGGCUCAGGCCAACAUCGGUUUCUGUCGGGGGAUAAGAACAGUAGGAACGUAGCUCUCCCUCGGGAGAGUGUUAUAGCCUAUUGUACGAUACUCUGACUGGGACCGAGGACCG